AACGCACAUUGCGCCCUUUGGUAUUCCGAAGGGAAUGCCUGUUCGAGCGUCAUUUCACCACUCAAGCCUGGCUUGGUAUUGGGCGCCGCGGUCAAUCCGCGCGCCUCAAAGUCUCCGGCUGAGCUGUCCGUCUCUAAGCGUUGUGAUUUCAUUAAUCGCUUCGGAGUGCGGGCGGCCGCGGCCGUUAAAUCUUUCACAAGGUUGACCUCGGAUCAGGUAGGGAUACCCGCUGAACUUAA
Molecule: unclassified non-coding RNA, 239 nt
Filed under: uncultured Septoria
Lineage: Eukaryota; Fungi; Ascomycota; Dothideomycetes; Mycosphaerellales; Mycosphaerellaceae
Description: sequence contains ITS2
Source: RNAcentral